UUCUAACGAGUAGUUGAUGCUGUUGCUGCUGGUUGGUUCUGAGACUGUUGCUGUAGAUCGGGGAAUAUCUUAUAGAGGAGAAGGAAUUUAUUCCGUAGAGAGAUAUUGCUAGGAGGCUAUUAUUCCGUUAUGGUUGUUUCAAUGAUCUUGAGACAUUAUUGUUUUCUUUUUAUUGGAACGUAAUACACGUAUCGAUCCUUCUUAAUUGGAAUUUAUUCCCACGGGAUUGCACAGUGGGAUGAUUUAGGUGUCGUUGAUAUUUCUUUUUUUGGGUUUCUUUAUUUUGACUUGUCGAUCCUCUGGAAUUUCAUUAAGGGUCUUUCAAUUCGAAUGAUUUGUAGAUUAACGUGCUGAUUGUUAAAGGUUUAUUAAAGAAGCAUUAGGUCACCGGUACGUGUUCUUUUGGUAACCGCUAUUUGGACGUGACCUUAGUGACUGAAAAGGUACCACCAACUUAGAUUUGCCGAUUCAGAUAAGAAACACAGCCAAACGAAGGGUCUAAGCGAAAUCACAAGGGCCAGUUUCUUCUUCGUGGCCCGAAGGUUGCCUGGGGUGAGCAACCUUAUUUGGCGAGGCGGUCUGCCGACUUACUGACAAUCAGCGAUGGCUUUAAGGAACACAUUCUACGUUCUUUCUAAGAAGUCGUGACAACCGAUCCACUGCGUUCUCCAGGACGAGACAGAAUCACGUGGGCGUCUAGGACAUCGUCCUCUCUUCGGGAUCCCUUUUAGGGUGCGUACACCCCAAGGUGUGCGGAACCUCAUGGAUCCUAAAUCGUGGCGUUCGCAUGGUAGAUGCUGGAAGGAUGCCCGAAGGAUCUCGCAGAUCGUUAGAGCCAUUGUGAAGUGGUCAUUGCGCCCACGUUCGCCAGCCUAACCAGUUAUCGGCUCUCUCUUUAGAGUCUCGCUCGGUAAUACAUACUUGUCGGUAGCUGGGCAACAUAUUCGUUUGAAUAUUCGGACAAAGGACAGCCUAACGCGAGACACGUACUUUGGCCCGGGUGUUCAAGUUAAUCCUACACUGUUGGAUACAGUACCUCGGUACACGUGUGCCGGCAUUACGCAUACGAGAGACUCUUAAGCGUCUCGUUAGUUAAGAAAUUUUCAUAUGACAGGCAUAGAAAACCGGAAACGUAUGUGUCAUAGGAUUACAGCAAUACGUGAUGGACAUUGAGUAUAAACUAUAUCUAUUUCAUAAUACUGAACUCAUUGUCAUCCAUAGUCACUUUCGACUCUGUAUCACUUUUUAAUUCGUAGGAUUUAAAUUUACUAUCAGAAGUACCGUCAUUGAUUCUAAUCAAUUGUAAAAGAUUAUGGCAUCGCACUAUGACUUCUCUCGAACAAGUAUCUAGUUUCAACUGUAGGAAAGACUCGAGUCUAUCUUAUAUGGACAUGCAAGGCAAGGCAAGCAGUGUAGCACGCGUCGGCAUUCUGAAGUGCGGUGUUCCUUUCCGGUCUGCGUGCCUGUUCCGUUACCUAGAUGGACUACGUUAAACGUCGUGAUUGUGCUAAUGGGUCAAAUGGGGUACAGGACAUUCGGAAUUGAACUUACAUCCGGAGUAUUUAAUUCGACAAGUGUCUAGAGUGGAUUGACUAAUGCGGGAGCAGUUCGAUCCUGAAUUUUGAACUAUGGAGCUUAGAUAAACGUUAAUUAGUUUAUAUGUAAAAUGAUUGAAUACUAUAAAUUUUAAUUUCUAAUAAAACAAGGAUUAGGCUGAUCCAUUUUAUGAAUCUGAGAGUAUCAAUGUCCUGGUUAGAUAAUUAUCACUUAUUAUCGGAUAAGCAUUCAAAUCAAGUGGUCGAUGGGUCAAGCUAUCGAUCGUCGAUCGUUUUGCGGUUUUGGAGCUUUAUAAGGAGAGAGUUCUGGCAACUGCGAUAAUGCGCCAGUGAGCAUCUGCACGUACGCGCCUAGUCAGGACCGCUGAAGAUCACCGGUCGAUUCACUUGGAUAGUCCGAUUAAAGAAUUGAUAUUUAAUAAUAAUUUUAUCACGCGAAAAUAAUGAUCUCGGUACACUCAUAA
Cephus cinctus (wheat stem sawfly) is the source of this 2020-nucleotide long non-coding RNA. RefSeq lists it as uncharacterized. The record is from RefSeq and is a predicted model, not a curated record. Lineage: Eukaryota; Metazoa; Arthropoda; Insecta; Hymenoptera; Cephidae. The transcript has 4 exons.